RNAcentral lists this ribosomal RNA (476 nucleotides) under uncultured organism. RNAcentral's name for it is "partial 16S ribosomal RNA". It matches the Rfam family "Bacterial small subunit ribosomal RNA", at positions 334 to 801 of the family's 1533-position model. The record is from RNAcentral.
CACUCCUGCGGGAGGCAGCAGUGGGGAAUUUUGGACAAUGGGCGAAAGCCUGAUCCAGCCAUGCCGCGUGCAGGAUGAAGGCCUUCGGGUUGUAAACUGCUUUUGUACGGAACGAAACGGCCUUUUCUAAUAAAGAGGGCUAAUGACGGUACCGUAAGAAUAAGCACCGGCUAACUACGUGCCAGCAGCCGCGGUAAUACGUAGGGUGCAAGCGUUAAUCGGAAUUACUGGGCGUAAAGCGUGCGCAGGCGGUUAUGUAAGUCAGUUGUGAAAUCCCCGGGCUCAACCUGGGAACUGCAUCUGUGACUGCAUAGCUAGAGUACGGUAGAGGGGGAUGGAAUUCCGCGUGUAGCAGUGAAAUGCGUAGAUAUGCGGAGGAACACCGAUGGCGAAGGCAAUCCCCUGGACCUGUACUGACGCUCUUGCACGAAAGCGUGGGGAGCAAACAGGAUUAGAUACCCCAGUAGUCCCAUGAU